This is a long non-coding RNA of Pseudophryne corroboree (corroboree frog), 794 nucleotides long. RefSeq lists it as uncharacterized. The transcript is spliced from 3 exons. NCBI's taxonomy places the organism in Eukaryota, Metazoa, Chordata, Amphibia, Anura, Myobatrachidae. The record is from RefSeq and is a predicted model, not a curated record.
AGUCAGUGACGAAACGCGUUAGGGCGGAGCUGCUCUGACGUCAUCAUCCUCCGGCUAUCUCCGUCCCGAAGCAAGUGGUCCAGUGAUCCGACCCGCGGUGACCGCUGUUGGCGGCCAGGUGCGGGAGGUAGGAGUCCAGGGAGCCAAGAGAUGAGCCCUUCGAGAAAUUAGAAAGGACAUUGACAUUCUCCAAAACUUUCCCCAGAGAAGUUUAGAAUUUGAUCAGCAUUCAACAUGACGAUGAACGGAAAACUGCAAUAAACAUACAGGUCACUAUAAACAUUGGUGAGAAUAUCAUCUGCUCUAAACUGUGAAUGGAUCCUUUGGGUUUAAAAACUGCUCAUGUCAGCUUGUGUUACAUCCUCUGACGAAACCGCCGAUACACAGGUGCGGAGAAACGCAUAAUAACAAAGGAACUGCAUCCACUGGACACACCGUCUCACCGGCAUUAUUCCUCUGACAAGCCCAGCCAGCAUAUUACCUGCUCAUACUAUGCAGCAAUCUGAGUAAGGACUGCAUUACAACGGCGGCUGAGGAAGUUCUUAGAUCUGGUAAGAGAGAGCCCCAUAUGUUCAUGUCAGCAUGGCUGCAUGGACAUUGAUACUACCGCUGUGGGCACAGGUGGAACAUAGCACCGCAACGCUAUAGAACAUCUCCAGCGCCCUCCCUCUGCCCCUAUAUGCAGUCAUUUUAUUCAAUAACGGAAGAUGACUUACUAUCGUGUCUGCACUGUCAGACUAAUGCCUCAUGUUUUGCCGUCACUACUUCUAAAUACACUGCAUUAUGGAAAUUAA